RNAcentral lists this small nucleolar RNA (91 nucleotides) under Brachypodium distachyon (stiff brome). Lineage: Eukaryota; Viridiplantae; Streptophyta; Magnoliopsida; Poales; Poaceae. The record is from RNAcentral.
CAGAGGCUGUGACGACGAAAAAUACCUACCUAUUUUCUGAGGGAUUUCGAUCCCUCUGCAGAGAAACCAAUUCAAUCUUCUGAGCCUUGCA